GACGAACGCUGGCGGCGUGCUUAACACAUGCAAGUCGAGCGGAAAGGCCCUGCUUUUGUGGGGUGCUCGAGUGGCGAACGGGUGAGUAACACGUGAGUAACCUGCCCUUGACUUUGGGAUAACUUCAGGAAACUGGGGCUAAUACCGGAUAGGAGCUCCUGCUGCAUGGUGGGGGUUGGAAAGUUUCGGCGGUUGGGGGUGGACUCGCGGCUUAUCAGCUUGUUGGUGGGGUAGUGGCUUACCAAGGCUUUGACGGGUAGCCGGCCUGAGAGGGUGACCGGCCACAUUGGGACUGAGAUACGGCCCAGACUCCUACGGGAGGCAGCAGUGGGGAAUAUUGCACAAUGGGCGGAAGCCUGAUGCAGCAACGCCGCGUGCGGGAUGACGGCCUUCGGGUUGUAAACCGCUUUCGCCUGUGACGAAGCGUGAGUGACGGUAAUGGGUAAAGAAGCACCGGCUAACUACGUG
Molecule: ribosomal RNA, 468 nt
Filed under: uncultured bacterium
Lineage: Bacteria
Description: partial 16S ribosomal RNA
Rfam family: Bacterial small subunit ribosomal RNA
Source: RNAcentral